This 1112-nucleotide ribosomal RNA is filed under the name Staphylococcus aureus. Its description in RNAcentral is "bacterial SSU rRNA". It matches the Rfam family "Bacterial small subunit ribosomal RNA", at positions 8 to 1099 of the family's 1533-position model. The record is from RNAcentral. Lineage: Bacteria; Bacillati; Bacillota; Bacilli; Caryophanales; Staphylococcaceae.
AGAGUUUGAUCCUGGCUCAGGAUGAACGCUGGCGGCGUGCCUAAUACAUGCAAGUCGAGCGAACGGACGAGAAGCUUGCUUCUCUGAUGUUAGCGGCGGACGGGUGAGUAACACGUGGAUAACCUACCUAUAAGACUGGGAUAACUUCGGGAAACCGGAGCUAAUACCGGAUAAUAUUUUGAACCGCAUGGUUCAAAAGUGAAAGACGGUCUUGCUGUCACUUAUAGAUGGAUCCGCGCUGCAUUAGCUAGUUGGUAAGGUAACGGCUUACCAAGGCAACGAUGCAUAGCCGACCUGAGAGGGUGAUCGGCCACACUGGAACUGAGACACGGUCCAGACUCCUACGGGAGGCAGCCGUAGGGAAUCUUCCGCAAUGGGCGAAAGCCUGACGGAGCAACGCCGCGUGAGUGAUGAAGGUCUUCGGAUCGUAAAACUCUGUUAUUAGGGAAGAACAUAUGUGUAAGUAACUGUGCACAUCUUGACGGUACCUAAUCAGAAAGCCACGGCUAACUACGUGCCAGCAGCCGCGGUAAUACGUAGGUGGCAAGCGUUAUCCGGAAUUAUUGGGCGUAAAGCGCGCGUAGGCGGUUUUUUAAGUCUGAUGUGAAAGCCCACGGCUCAACCGUGGAGGGUCAUUGGAAACUGGAAAACUUGAGUGCAGAAGAGGAAAGUGGAAUUCCAUGUGUAGCGGUGAAAUGCGCAGAGAUAUGGAGGAACACCAGUGGCGAAGGCGACUUUCUGGUCUGUAACUGACGCUGAUGUGCGAAAGCGUGGGGAUCAAACAGGAUUAGAUACCCUGGUAGUCCACGCCGUAAACGAUGAGUGCUAAGUGUUAGGGGGUUUCCGCCCCUUAGUGCUGCAGCUAACGCAUUAAGCACUCCGCCUGGGGAGUACGACCGCAAGGUUGAAACUCAAAGGAAUUGACGGGGACCCGCACAAGCGGUGGAGCAUGUGGUUUAAUUCGAAGCAACGCGAAGAACCUUACCAAAUCUUGACAUCCUUUGACAACUCUAGAGAUAGAGCCUUCCCCUUCGGGGGACAAAGUGACAGGUGGUGCAUGGUUGUCGUCAGCUCGUGUCGUGAGAUGUUGGGUUAAGUCCCGCAACGAGCGC